AGGGAGCGCAGGCGGUUCAUUUAGUUAGGCGUGAAAGCCCCGGGCUCAACCUGGGAACUGCGCUUAAUACUGAUGAGCUAGAAAACAGAAGAGGAUAGUGGAAUUCCCAGUGUAGAGGUGAAAUUCGUAGAUAUUGGGAAGAACACCGGUGGCGAAAGCGGCUAUCUGGUCUGAUUUUGACGCUGAGGCUCGAAAGCGUGGGGAGCAAACAGGAUUAUAUACCCUGGUAGUCCACGCCGUAAACGAUGAUAACUAGAUGUCGGGGGGUCGCCUCUCGGUGUCGCAGCUAACGCAUUAAGUUAUCCGCCUGGGAAGUACGGUCGCAAGAUUAAAACUCAAAGGAAUUGACGGGGGCCCGCACAAGCGGUGGAGCAUGUGGUUUAAUU
Molecule: ribosomal RNA, 386 nt
Filed under: uncultured bacterium
Lineage: Bacteria
Description: bacterial SSU rRNA
Rfam family: Bacterial small subunit ribosomal RNA
Source: RNAcentral